GUCGAGCGUACCGAUGGGAGCUUGCUCCCUGAUGUCAGCGGCGGACGGGUGAGUAACACGUGGGUAACCUGCCUGUAAGACUGGGAUAACUCCGGGAAACCGGGGCUAAUACCGGAUGCUUGAUUGAACCGCAUGGUUCAAUUAUAAAAGGUGGCUUUUACCUACCCCUUACUAAUGGACCCCCGGCCCAUUACCUAUUUGGGAAGGUAACGGUUCCCCAAGGCAACAAUCCUAACCCAACCUGAAAGGGGAACCGGCCCCCCUGGAACUGAAACCCGGCCCAAACCCCUACGGAAGGCACCAUAAGGAAAUCUUCCCCAAUG
RNAcentral lists this ribosomal RNA (323 nucleotides) under Bacillus haynesii. RNAcentral's name for it is "bacterial SSU rRNA". It matches the Rfam family "Bacterial small subunit ribosomal RNA", at positions 61 to 373 of the family's 1533-position model. Lineage: Bacteria; Bacillati; Bacillota; Bacilli; Caryophanales; Bacillaceae. The record is from RNAcentral.